Molecule: long non-coding RNA, 785 nt
Organism: Epinephelus lanceolatus (giant grouper)
Lineage: Eukaryota; Metazoa; Chordata; Actinopteri; Perciformes; Serranidae
Source: RefSeq, a predicted model, not a curated record
GUAGAUGUACAGCCUCAGUGGACGACAUCUGGGAAGAAGAGGAACGUUACACAGAUCAGCAGAAGGAACAAGUGGAGCUAUGAGCUCCUCAUGACUCGCCUGCUGGAAGCAUCACUGUCUCCCUCAGCCCCAACCUUGACCCCGCCCACCCUCAUCACGCGGCCCAAUCGCCUCGCUGACCUUGCCUACACAUGUCCCCGCCCCCCUGUCACUCAUCAUGUACAGUGACUGAGAGGAGGAGGAAAUGAUGCUUAAACUACAACAAAGAUGGCGGAUCAUCCAGCCUCACGUUUACCAAUCUCCUUCAUCUUCCUCAUAGCACACACACAACUCCUCCUCGUCUCUGGUUUGUAGAAGGUUUGAAGUCUCCCUCCUGGAGACAAAGACAGGAAGCCGGGUCCUCCGAUCCAUCCUGCUUUGAUUGCAGCCAGAAGACGAGGCAGCGAUCCGGAGGAGGCCGGAGCGGCGGCGCUGAAUGAUGAAUUAUGUUUCAAGGCUUUUCACGUGGCGCACUGGAAUUCAUGUCCAGCCUUAAUAGCGCUCGUUUUCUGCCUUGUUCACUCCAUUAGUGGCGAGCGGGGGGCCCCGAGUGGCGGGCCCCGCCGCUAAUUACAGCGUGAGGGAUGAUCGGCGAGGGCUCAUUACCGGCGGUGCGGGCCGAAACAUACUGUCUCUCUCCCCGGUUAAUGAUGUUGGAUCUGUGGUGAGGAGAGACCAGCGCUCGCCGCUUCAUCAAACGUCUGAGUGUCCGCGGGUUAACGUGGCUGUUGACUUCCUCUCUGUCU